CCUACGGGAGGCAGCAGUGAGGAAUAUUGGACAAUGGGCGCAAGCCUGAUCCAGCCAUGCCGCGUGCAGGAAGACGGUCCUAUGGAUUGUAAACUGCUUUUAUACAGGAAGAAAUACUUUCUCGUGAGAGAGCUUGGCGGUACUGUAAGAAUAAGGAUCGGCUAACUCCGUGCCAGCAGCCGCGGUAAUACGGAGGAUCCAAGCGUUAUCCGGAAUCAUUGGGUUUAAAGGGUCCGUAGGCGGUUUAAUAAGUCAGUGGUGAAAUCUGGUCGCUCAACGAUCAAACGGCCAUUGAUACUGUUAGACUUGAAUUAUUGUGAAGUAACUAGAAUAUGUAGUGUAGCGGUGAAAUGCUUAGAUAUUACAUGGAAUACCAAUUGCGAAGGCAGGUUACUAACAAUGGAUUGACGCUGAUGGACGAAAGCGUGGGGAGCGAACAGGAUUAGAUACCCUGGUAGUCCACGCCGUAAACGAUGGAUACUAGCUGUUGGGCGCAAGUUCAGUGGCUAAGCGAAAGUGAUAAGUAUCCCACCUGGGGAGUACGUUCGCAAGAAUGAAACUCAAAUGAAAUUGACGG
This 577-nucleotide ribosomal RNA is filed under the name uncultured bacterium. RNAcentral describes it as "bacterial SSU rRNA". It matches the Rfam family "Bacterial small subunit ribosomal RNA", at positions 338 to 916 of the family's 1533-position model. The record is from RNAcentral.